ACCAAGAAGUUGGUUAUUGACUUCGGAAGCAAUGCCAUUAGGAUAAUAUGAUAGAAAGUCCCGAGUGUUCCGACUGUUUUUUAAAUGACCAUGACACUGAGAAAACACCAUGAGAAAAUACCAUAACAAUAAGACUGCAUGGCAUCGUGAAAUUGUGAAUAUAAAAUCAAAUCUACUUCAAUGCAGAGUGUAACAGAUUUUUCAAUUCGACACGUCAUGUAUACAUGCAGUAUUAUACUCUGUCUUUGCAUACAUACAUGUAUA
RNAcentral lists this long non-coding RNA (264 nucleotides) under Mytilus galloprovincialis (Mediterranean mussel). Lineage: Eukaryota; Metazoa; Mollusca; Bivalvia; Mytilida; Mytilidae. The record is from RNAcentral.